GCUUAUUAUUAUUUGUAUAUAUAUAAUUAAUAUAUAUAGAGAGAGAGAGAGUCCGGCUGGGAUAUUAUAGAUAGCACUAAGAAUUUGAUGCUAUCGAGUUUUUCACCGUUAGAUUUAACGUUUGAUUAUUUUUACCCGUUAGAUUAUACAAUUCAACGAACCACUCACUCAAUCCUAGAAAGCCUACAUCAUCAUAAUCAUACAUUUCUCAAUCCAAGGGUUAAAAAACUAAUAGCACAAAUAGCUUGGUGCUAUUGAUAAUAUUUCAGUCUAAGUUCUC
Molecule: long non-coding RNA, 280 nt
Filed under: Ananas comosus (pineapple)
Lineage: Eukaryota; Viridiplantae; Streptophyta; Magnoliopsida; Poales; Bromeliaceae
Description: long non-coding RNA (ACOM_LNC004563)
Source: RNAcentral